UACGGAGGGAGCUAGCGUUGUUCGGAAUUACUGGGCGUAAAGCGCGCGUAGGCGGCUUUGUAAGUUAGAGGUGAAAGCCCGGGGCUCAACCCCGGAACUGCCUUUAAGACUGCAUCGCUUGAAUCCGGGAGAGGUGAGUGGAAUUCCGAGUGUAGAGGUGAAAUUCGUAGAUAUUCGGAAGAACACCAGUGGCGAAGGCGGCUCACUGGACCGGGUAUUGACGCUGAUGUGCGAAAGCGUGGGGAGCAAACAGG
This 254-nucleotide ribosomal RNA is filed under the name uncultured bacterium. RNAcentral's name for it is "partial 16S ribosomal RNA". It matches the Rfam family "Bacterial small subunit ribosomal RNA", at positions 524 to 776 of the family's 1533-position model. The record is from RNAcentral.